CAGCCGCCACGGGAAUACGAAGGGUGCAAGCGUUACUCGGAAUUACUGGGCGUAAAGCGUGCGUAGGUGGUGGUUUAAGUCCGUUGUGAAAGCCCUGGGCUCAACCUGGGAAUUGCAGUGGAUACUGGGUCACUAGAGUGUGGUAGAGGAUAGUGGAAUUUCCGGUGUAGCAGUGAAAUGCGUAGAGAUCGGAAGGAACAUCUGUGGCGAAGGCGACUAUCUGGGCCAACACUGACGCUGAGGCACGAAAGCGUGGGGAGCAAACAGGAUUAGAUACCCCGGUAGUCCCUGUCUCUUAUAA
This 301-nucleotide ribosomal RNA is filed under the name uncultured bacterium. Its description in RNAcentral is "partial 16S ribosomal RNA". It matches the Rfam family "Bacterial small subunit ribosomal RNA", at positions 509 to 809 of the family's 1533-position model. The record is from RNAcentral.